Molecule: long non-coding RNA, 321 nt
Filed under: Capsicum annuum
Lineage: Eukaryota; Viridiplantae; Streptophyta; Magnoliopsida; Solanales; Solanaceae
Description: long non-coding RNA (CANN_LNC018078)
Source: RNAcentral
UAUUAUUUCCAAGUUAGAAGGUCCGAAAGAGUCAUAGGUGCGGAUUAUGCAUUAGAAAGCAUCAAUAACAUAAAGGAAACAAUACCAAAACUUUGGGAAGUUGACAAGGUGAUUGAAGUUAACUACUCUGGUGUUGCUGCGGAGAUCUGUUAUAUCUUAGAAUAUCUCUAAUCUUUAUCUCUAAUCUCUAAUCUCUAUCUCUAAUAUAUUAAAAGUGUGAAGGGCUUUAGAAAUAUUGUUUGAAUUUUUUGUUCGUCAUUAAAAGUCCAAGCAAUAAAUAAAAUCAUAUUCAUUAAUACAUAUGAGUCUUAAAAUAUAUGU